Sorex araneus (European shrew) is the source of this 442-nucleotide long non-coding RNA. RefSeq lists it as uncharacterized. The record is from RefSeq and is a predicted model, not a curated record. The transcript is spliced from 3 exons. NCBI's taxonomy places the organism in Eukaryota, Metazoa, Chordata, Mammalia, Eulipotyphla, Soricidae.
GCAAAAGAGUAUCCUUUGAUUGUGAUCUCUUCUGCCUGGUCUCCGGGAAAUCUCUCAUGCAUCCUGUGUUUUGUGUACCCUGCUCAGGUGGAGUUUGCCUGCCAGGCUUGGAAUGUUCUAAGAAAGGCUUCCUGUUUCCCCAACGUGGAGAUUGAUGAUAUACCAUAUCAUUUUGGACCCGAGAGCUCUUGAACACAGACCCUGUGGAGUUUGCCUGCCAGGCUUGGAAUGUUCUAAGAAAGGCUUCCUGUUGUCCCCAACGUGGAGAUUGAUGAUAUACCAUGUCAUUAUGGACCCGAGAGCUCUUGAACACAGACCCUUCCAGUGGAGUUUGCCUGCCAGGCUUGGAAUGUUCUAAGAAAGGCUUCCUGUUUCCCCAACGUGGAGAUUGAUGAUAUACCAUGUCAUUUUGGACCUGAGAGCUCUUGAACACAGACCCUGU